AUGCCAUUCCAGGAUUGCAUUGGAGCAAUAGAUGGUACUCAUGUCACUACCAGAGUGCCGAGGUCACAAGCUGCAGCAUACAGAGGGAGGAAGCACUACACAAGCCAGAAUGUGCAAGCUGAUGUUGACUUUGAUCUGAAGUUCACAUAUGUGUUGGCUGGCUGGGAAGGAUCAGUAUACGAUGCUAACAUUCUCAAUGACAGCACGAGUCGUCAUGAUGGCAUCAACAUCCCCGAUGGCAAGUUCUACCUUGGAGAUGAUGACUAUGCAUGUUGGCCAGGUGUUCUUCCACCCUUCAAGAAAACUAGAUACCAUCUGAACGAGUUUGCCGGUAGGAACUAUCCUAAGACUCCUCAAGAACUGUUCAAUCUCAGAUACUCUAGCCUUAUAGGGACUGUUGAGAGGGCCUUUGGAGCUUCGAAGAACAGGUUUAAGAUCCUGGAUCAGAAGUCAUUCCACCCUUACCCUACCCAGCUGAAGCUUGUUCUUGCCUGUUGCAUUCACAACUGGAUCCUGCAAUGGGGAGUUGAUGAAUUUGUGCCGGGGGAGGAAGAUGUGACUCCUGAUGAGGUGGCCAACUCCGGCCAUGGUGUGGAGGCAUUAGACAACGAAGCGUGAAAGAACAAAAGGUUGAAAUGGGCUCAGGCAAUGUGCGAUAAUAGAGGUCAGACAAUGAUCUGA
Molecule: ribosomal RNA, 681 nt
Filed under: Triticum aestivum (bread wheat)
Lineage: Eukaryota; Viridiplantae; Streptophyta; Magnoliopsida; Poales; Poaceae
Description: partial small subunit ribosomal RNA
Source: RNAcentral